Molecule: non-coding RNA, 341 nt
Organism: Hydra vulgaris (swiftwater hydra)
Lineage: Eukaryota; Metazoa; Cnidaria; Hydrozoa; Anthoathecata; Hydridae
Source: RefSeq, a predicted model, not a curated record
UUUCAGCGAAAUUAAAUUAAAAAUUAUGUUAUAGAAGAAAGAAAAAUAUCAAUAUCUGUUUUCAAUAACUUGGCUUUCAUAGCCAAUCUUAGAGACUGUUUAACGUUUAACUCCUGUCCCAACCUAACCUAGUGGAUUCAAAAAGUAGGCACCGCGCUGGAAACAUGAGUGGAUUAAAAGGAUAAACCCUUUUUGAAUUAAUAGUCGAAGUAGUACCAGCUAGAAGUCGUAACCUACUCAUAUGAAAAGAUUUCUCGAGGUGAAAUUGUUAAUUUUAUUCAACAACGCCAAGAAACAGAGCUCACUCAAGAAACAGAAAAGAAAGAGAAAGAUGAAAAAAU